This 2757-nucleotide ribosomal RNA is filed under the name Triticum aestivum (bread wheat). Its description in RNAcentral is "partial small subunit ribosomal RNA". Lineage: Eukaryota; Viridiplantae; Streptophyta; Magnoliopsida; Poales; Poaceae. The record is from RNAcentral.
AUGGCGCCACCGCGGAACCAUCCCGGCCUGUUCCUCUGCUUCCUUUUGCUCGCGUCCACCGCCACGCUCUCCGCCGCGGUCUCCGCCGCGUCCUACUCCUCCGUUUGCACCAAGCCCGGACCCGCUGACGACCGCUACACCGACGGCAACGAAACCCUCUUACUCACCAGCUUCUUCCAAAUCUCCACCGGUUACUUCUCCUUCUCCGAGGGCGCGCACAGCUUGUUCUCCGCCGCCGCCGAUGAUGACCCCUACGGCAGCUAUCGCUCGUUUUCCCUUUUCCCCCACGGCGUCUACCGCACCAGCGACAAGGAUCUCGUGCACCUCACUGCCACUCUCACCCUCACCGCCCCCCGCGUCCACACCUACCGGGGCCGUGGACGCCGCGAGAAUUACACCGGCUCCGCGUCCGUCUCCUUCAUCCUCGACGGCUUCUACUCCUCCGCCUCACUCGAACUCUGCAUGGUCGGGAAGGGCACCGAGCACUCCGUCGACGGCUCUCCCAAGCACUACCCCGACGUCGUCCUCCGCCUCCGCGUCCCCGAUCGUCCCUCCCUCACCGAUCCCUUCGUGACCGGCAGUCUAGAGGUCUCCGACUUCGGGGCCAUCCAGCUCCUCGCUUACGCCGAGGGCGACAACUACAAGUACGCCUCCGAGGGCGCGGCCUGCAGCGCACCGACGCCGACGCAGCCUGCCAGGGACUCGUACCAGGCGCUCGGCAGCGGCUUCGCCUGGUGCGCCCAUCUGAAACAACAGCUCGUGACCGCGUACAGGCUGGAGCACGGCGGCGAACCGCUUCUGCGGCGGAUGCACGUCAACCAGAUGCAGUGCACCGCGAAGGGUGCCGUGCGCGCGUACGUGGUGUUCUCCAACGACACUGGGUCGACCGAGAGGCACCGAUUCUUCAACCACCGUCCACACCGCUUCUCGGUGGACGAGGAGGCUGUCGUGGCCGAGGGGCGCUGGGACAAGGUUCGGGGCUCGCUCUGCCUCAGGGCGUGCCCGGUGGUGCGCUCGGCCUCGGCGCCCUCUGUCCCGGCGGUGCGAGAGCAUGAGUGCGGGAUCGGGAUGAGCUUCUGGUUCCCGGCCGUGUGGACGAUGCGGGACCGGAGCGUCGUGGCCGGGAUGCUUUGGAACUCGACCCAGACUGGUAUUGGCAGCAACGACGGCGUGACAACAGCGUCGAGCAUCGACGUCGUCGACGACGGAUUCAUCGACCUCACUGACGACCACAGAAGCAGCAACCUCUCAGAUGUGAAGUACAGCUACAACGACACGAUGCUUGCCGAGGCGACGAAGCAUUACUACCUCAAAUUCAAGAAGGAGAAGAUCAAGGGGGCGCGCUCAUUCCCGGGGAACUAUACUUACCGUGACUUCGAAUUUCGUUUCUUCGCGCUGAGCAGGGGGGGCGGAAAGGCCAACCCAGUCACAAUCGGUUCGGUGAUGGUCUCCGGGGAUCGGCUGGCUGCCGACGAUUCCUUCUCCCAUGGUGUGGUACUUGACACGAAGCAAAAUCUGCUGAAUGUCAGCUACGAUAUAGGCUAUUAUGCUCCAGCUGAUGAUUGGGUGCGUCCUACGAAUGGGUCGUACUCGUUCUCAUAUAGCCCUGAGACACGGCGACGAAUCUCAGCAGAGGGUGUUUAUGAUCCUGAGAGCGGCAUACUGUGCAUGGUCGGUUGCCGAGAGCACAACGGCUCGACCGACUGUCAAACACUGGUAACCGUGAAGUUCGCCUCCCUUGAUGCCAGGGGUCAGGGGCACGGCAGGGGGGUAAUCAGCAGCCUCAGAGACAAGUCCGAUCGUCUUUUCUUCAAGAAGGUCGACAUCACUCUGUACGGGAUGUACUCAGACCAAGUGUCGGAGGCGAUAUCUAGGAUGGACUUGGAAGGCAUCAUGCUGGUGGCGUCCACGACGCUGUCGUGCGUCUUCACCGUCCUGCAGAUCCUCCGUACCAAGAAGAACCCCGAGGCGGCUCCGGCGACGUCGAUCACCAUGCUCGCCAUCCUCACGCUGGGAUACCUCACUCCUCUCGUGCUCAACUUCGACGCCCUGUUCACGAGCAGGAGGAGCCGGUACUCCGUGUACUGGAUGAGCGACUGGCGCGAGGUGAACGAGGUGGUGAUGAGGGCGCCCACGCUGGUCGCCUUCGUGCUGCAGCUGCGCCUCCUUCAGCUCGUGUGGUCCGGCCGCCGGAGGUCGGCGGACCAGAGCAAGUCCGCCACGCCGUCGCCCGUCGUGUCCGAGAGGAUCGUGCUGCAGAUAUGCCUGCCGCUGUACGUGCUCGGAGGAGCCCUGGCCGCGGCCGUCCACGUGAUCAACGUCCGCGCCGCGAGCGAGGAGCCGCUCGUGGUGCGCAUCGCCGGAGAGCCGGCCACGAUCUGGGAGGACCUCGUGUCGUACGGCGGUCUGAUACUGGACGGCUUCCUGCUCCCUCAGAUCAUCCUGAACGCGUCCUUGGCGGGCUCCGGAGUGCGAGCGAUCUCGCCGUGGUUCUACGCGGGGGUCACCAUGACCCGGGUGAUGCCUCACGUGUACGACGUGGUGAGGCGGCAGAUCUACGAGCCGAGCAUGAGCUCCUCCGACCUGUACGCUAGCCCGCGGGGCGACCUCUUCGGCGUCGCGUGGGACAUCAUCAUACCGUGCGGAGCGGGAGUGCUGGCCGUGCUGGUCUUCUUGCAGCAGCGGCUUGGAGGCAGCGCGGUUCUUCCUUCACAGAGGAGGAGAUCAGGUGGGUAUGAGAUGGUCUCCAGCAUCUAA